This 494-nucleotide ribosomal RNA is filed under the name uncultured bacterium. RNAcentral's name for it is "partial 16S ribosomal RNA". It matches the Rfam family "Bacterial small subunit ribosomal RNA", at positions 28 to 507 of the family's 1533-position model. The record is from RNAcentral.
GACGAACGCAGGCGGCGUGCUUAACACAUGCAAGUCGAACGGAAAGGCCUGCUUUCCCUUGUGGAUUGCGGGUACUCGAGUGGCGAACGGGUGAGUAACACGUGAGUAAUCUGCCCCCAACUUGGGUAUAAGCCUGGGAAACUGGGUCUAAUUCCCGAUAGGACUGCAGGGUGGUGCCUGUGGUGGAAAACGAUUUUCUAGUGGUUGGGGAUGAGCUCGCGGCCUAUCAGCUUGUUGGUGGGGUAAUGGCCUACCAAGGCGGCGACGGGUAGCCGGCCUGAGAGGGUGGACGGCCACAUUGGGACUGAGAUACGGCCCAGACUCCUACGGGAGGCAGCAGUGGGGAAUAUUGCACAAUGGGCGGAAGCCUGAUGCAGCGACGCCGCGUGGGGGAUGACGGCCUUCGGGUUGUAAACUCCUUUCGACCGCGAGGAAGCCACCUGGUUGGAAGGGUGGUGACGGUAGUGGUAGAAGAAGCACCGGCUAACUACGUG